GAUGAACGCUGGCGGCGUGCCUAAUACAUGCAAGUCGAGCGAACGGACGAGAAGCUUGCUUCUCUGAUGUUAGCGGCGGACGGGUGAGUAACACGUGGAUAACCUACCUAUAAGACUGGGAUAACUUCGGGAAACCGUAGCUAAUACCGGAUAAUAUUUUGAACCGCAUGGUUCAAAAGUGAAAGACGGUCUUGCUGUCACUUAUAGAUGGAUCCGCGCUGCAUUAGCUAGUUGGUAAGGUAACGGCUUACCAAGGCAACGAUGCAUAGCCGACCUGAGAGGGUGAUCGGCCACACUGGAACUGAGACACGGUCCAGACUCCUACGGGAGGCAGCAGUAGGGAAUCUUCCGCAAUGGGCGAAAGCCUGACGGAGCAACGCCGCGUGAGUGAUGAAGGUCUUCGGAUCGUAAAACUCUGUUAUUAGGGAAGAACAUAUGUGUAAGUAACUGUGCACAUCUUGACGGUACCUAAUCAGAAAGCCACGGCUAACUACGUGCCAGCAGCCGCGGGUAUACGUAAGUGCCAAGCGUUAUCCCGAAAUAUUGGGCGUAAAGCGCGCGUAGCGGUUUUUUAGUCUGAUGUGAAAGCCCACGGCUCAACCGUGGAGGGUCAUUGGAAACUGGAAAACUUGAGUGCAGAAGAGGAAAGUGGAAUUCCAUGUGUAGCGGUGAAAUGCGCAGAGAUAUGGAGGAACACCAGUGGCGAAGGCGACUUUCUGGUCUGUAACUGACGCUGAUGUGCGAAAGCGUGGGGAUCAAACAGGAUUAGAUACCCUGGUAGUCCACGCCGUAAACGAUGAGUGCUAAGUGUUAGGGGGUUUCCGCCCCUUAGUGCUGCAGCUAACGCAUUAAGCACUCCGCCUGGGGAGUACGACCGCAAGGUUGAAACUCAAAGGAAUUGACGGGGACCCGCACAAGCGGUGGAGCAUGUGGUUUAAUUCGAAGCAACGCGAAGAACCUUACCAAAUCUUGACAUCCUUUGACAACUCUAGAGAUAGAGCCUUCCCCUUCGGGGGACAAAGUGACAGGUGGUGCAUGGUUGUCGUCAGCUCGUGUCGUGAGGUGUUGGGUUAAGUCCCGCAACGAGCGCAACCCUUAAGCUUAGUUGCCAUCAUUAAGUUGGGCACUCUAAGUUGACUGCCGGUGACAAACCGGAGGAAGGUGGGGAUGACGUCAAAUCAUCAUGCCCCUUAUGAUUUGGGCUACACACGUGCUACAAUGGACAAUACAAAGGGCAGCGAAACCGCGAGGUCAAGCAAAUCCCAUAAAGUUGUUCUCAGUUCGGAUUGUAGUCUGCAACUCGACUACAUGAAGCUGGAAUCGCUAGUAAUCGUAGAUCAGCAUGCUACGGUGAAUACGUUCCCGGGUCU
RNAcentral lists this ribosomal RNA (1370 nucleotides) under uncultured bacterium. Its description in RNAcentral is "bacterial SSU rRNA". It matches the Rfam family "Bacterial small subunit ribosomal RNA", at positions 28 to 1381 of the family's 1533-position model. The record is from RNAcentral.